This 530-nucleotide ribosomal RNA is filed under the name Metacnemis valida. RNAcentral describes it as "partial 16S ribosomal RNA". It matches the Rfam family "Archaeal large subunit ribosomal RNA", at positions 1921 to 2688 of the family's 2987-position model. The record is from RNAcentral. Lineage: Eukaryota; Metazoa; Arthropoda; Insecta; Odonata; Platycnemididae.
GUCUUCAUGGAUUUUAUAUGAAGUCGGGCCUGCCCAGUGAUUUAUUUUUAACGGCCGCGGUAUAUUGACCGUGCAAAGGUAGCAUAAUCAUUAGUUUCUUAAUAGGGGGCUGGUAUGAAAGGUUUGACGAAAUAUUAACUGUCUCAUUUAUAUUAAUUAUAACUUAAUUUUUGAGUUAAAAAGCUUAAAUUUUUUUGGAGGACGAGAAGACCCUAUAGAGCUUUACAUUAUCAAUCUUAUUAUUUUUUAGAUUAUUUUUAUUUAUUAUUUUUGUAGUGUUUUGUUGGGGUGACAGUAAAAUAUAAUUAACUUUUUUAUUUUAUUAACAUUAAUUUAUGAUUUUUUGAUCCUUUAUUAUUGAUUGUUAGAUUAAGUUACCUUAGGGAUAACAGCGUAAUCUUUCUUUGGAGUUCAAAUUUAUAGAAAGGCUUGCGACCUCGAUGUUGGAUUAAGAUAAUAUUUUGGUGCAGUAACUAAGUGGAUAGGUCUGUUCGACCUUUAAAAUCUUACAUGAUCUGAGUUCAGACCGG